This is a long non-coding RNA of Microtus oregoni (creeping vole), 1217 nucleotides long. RefSeq lists it as uncharacterized. The record is from RefSeq and is a predicted model, not a curated record. Lineage: Eukaryota; Metazoa; Chordata; Mammalia; Rodentia; Cricetidae. The transcript has 3 exons.
GGGUGAGGCCAGCUUCGGUCUGGAAUGGUGGCCAUGGCGAGUUCCGUGCGUCCCGUCUUAAACGGUUCUCAUUGACCCGUCCUGCGUGGGACCACAACACAGCUGGCUGUAUGAUGUGAGGCGGGAGCAGAUGAAAGCCUCCAGGAGCCUUCAGAAGAUGCCACACCCCACGACCCGCUGCAGUGGCUUAUCAGUGAGUCAGCUCCAGAUGUCAGGAGACUGGAUGUGGAGGUGGCGGCUGGGGAUGUGUACAGUGGAAGGGACAAGUAGAGGAUAAGGAAGUUAAAAAGAGCAGCAUAAGAACCAACGCCAGUGGGAGCGGAGGAGCAGCACAGGAGGAGGAGCUCUGGAGGAGCAGCACAGGAGGAGGAGCACAGGAGGCGACUGUAACACCUGGCUGUUGGAUGGGAGGAUGAGAAACCAAGAGUUAGCAAAGAAAGGCCCCGGCUGGGAAAGAGUCAGUGUUUGGACUGUAAAGAGUGCCCCCCCCCCCCCCAGCUAAGACAGCUAGAGGCAACACUGAAGUCCUCAGCCAGCAGGCUUCCGACCACCACAGGGGUAGACAGUGGGCCGGCUUUUGUGUUCCAGGUCCACUGGAGACAGGAGGAGGAACGCAUGAGCUUAUUCGGUGAGGUGACCAAGGAGACGCCAAGACUCACGUUUGUUUUCCUAUCCGGAUCCAACCUGCACAUUUCCCCAAGAAAUCCCCACUGCUCUCGCCUUCCCGUUUGGUACUACGUAGGGAUGACCACACGGGACUGGCCGGCUCCCCAAACCUUUGUACGCUCGUUUCCCAAGUGAGUCCCCAAAGCCAAGGCUGUCUCUGAUCACACUAGCAGGGAAUGGAGGAAAUGAAAUAACUGUGCAGUAAUAUCAAGAGGUGGGUGAGGGGACUGGAGAGAUGACCCAGUGGUUAAGAGCACUGGCUGCUCCUCCACGGGAUCUGAACUCGAUUCCCAGCACCUUCAUGGAGGCUCACGACCAUCUCUUAACUCCUGUUCCAGGCACACAAGCGGUUCACAGACAUACAUGCAGACAAAAUACCCAUGCACAUAAACUUUAAAGAAAUUCUUAAACGUGGAUUUGGGAGAGCUGGUCCUCCGAGCUUAGCCUGACCAUCACCAUCCUGGGACAUGAGUUACCAUGGUGAUUGAGCAGAGACCCCAGCUUGUGACUGGGACAUAGCAGAACUUAAAUAAAAUUGAGGGGAUAAUGAA